GUGCUGAGUAAAGAGAGACCUUAGGACUAUAAGCAUCAGGUUAAGAAUACCUUACUGCACAUUCAAAGACUGUCAGUGGACUCAAACUUCGAUUCAUCCAGUGUAGAGAAGGGCUGCAGUAAGGACAGGCUUCCCAACAUUGCCUCACCAAUGUGUCUUAACCCUUCCCUGGAAGACCACACUUCUACAUGGAAAAGAGUAGUUUAGUUUCAGUGUUGAUGAAAUCCUUGACCUUUUUGCUGAGACUUGCAGAUAGACCACAGACAAGACAACUGUAUUAUUGAAAGGCACAAUGUCAACUUGAAAAAAACAACUACACGUCCAACUGAAGAGUUUCUAUCUAAUAUUGUCCAAAGUAACCCCUUAAGAAAACUGUCAUUAGAAUGGAUUCAAUAAUAUUUUUCUCUCUGUUUCCAAUUCUUAUAUUUUGUGCAUUUGACAUCGCUUUGCAGUUUCUCAGUUUCACCCUUGGUUUUGAUCGUGCAUACCUUUUCCCAGGCCUUACAGAAAAGAGUUCACCAACAGCAGGGCUGAAAUGGAAGAGGCAACAGGCAGGUGUGUGCCCAGAGAAUAUAGCGGACCUGAGCUUCUUUGGAAUUGUUGCACUUAGGGCUAGAGCUAGGUGACAUUUGUCAGACUAAACUUUUUUUUUUUUGGUUGCAAGAAAGAAAGAAAGAAAGAGAGA
This is a non-coding RNA of Chrysemys picta bellii (western painted turtle), 685 nucleotides long. The record is from RefSeq and is a predicted model, not a curated record. Lineage: Eukaryota; Metazoa; Chordata; Testudines; Emydidae.